Bos taurus (domestic cattle) is the source of this 72-nucleotide non-coding RNA. The record is from Rfam. Lineage: Eukaryota; Metazoa; Chordata; Mammalia; Artiodactyla; Bovidae.
UCCCUGGUGGCCCAGUGGUUAGGACUUCAUGCUUUUAUUGCCAGGCUCCAGGUUCAAUCCCUGGUCAGGGAA